AUUGGCUUUGGUCUAGUGGUAGAAUACAACGUUGCCAUAGUUGUGACCCGAGUUCGAUCCUCGGAUAAUG
Molecule: transfer RNA, 70 nt
Filed under: Perkinsus marinus ATCC 50983
Lineage: Eukaryota; Perkinsozoa; Perkinsida; Perkinsidae
Description: tRNA-Gly
Source: RNAcentral